Molecule: ribosomal RNA, 117 nt
Filed under: Petromyzon marinus (sea lamprey)
Lineage: Eukaryota; Metazoa; Chordata; Hyperoartia; Petromyzontiformes; Petromyzontidae
Source: RNAcentral
GCCAGUUAAGUCAGCCUGAAUGUGCCAGAACUCGUCAGAUCUUCGAAGGCUAAGCCGGGUCGAGUCUGAUUAAUACUUGGAUGGGAGACCACCUGGGAAUACCACGUGUUGUAUGCC